RNAcentral lists this ribosomal RNA (441 nucleotides) under uncultured Spirochaetaceae bacterium. RNAcentral describes it as "bacterial SSU rRNA". It matches the Rfam family "Bacterial small subunit ribosomal RNA", at positions 349 to 782 of the family's 1533-position model. Lineage: Bacteria; Pseudomonadati; Spirochaetota; Spirochaetia; Spirochaetales; Spirochaetaceae. The record is from RNAcentral.
CAGCAGCUAAGGAUAUUCCGCAACGGGCGGAAGCCCGGCGGAGCGACGCCGCGUGGACGAGGAAGGCCGGAAGGUUGCAGAGUCCUUUUGCGGGGGAAGAAGGAGCCGCGGAGGGAAUGCCGCGGCGGCGACCGAACCCCGCGAAUAAGGGGCGGCUAAUUACGUGCCAGCAGCCGCGGUAACACGUAAGCCCCGAGCGUUGUUCGGAAUCAUUGGGCGUAAAGGGCGCGUAGGCGGCCGCUCAAGCCCGGAGUGAAAGGCGGGGGCCCAACCCCCGGACUGCUCCGGGAACUGGGCGGCUGGAGUCGCCGAGGGGGAGCCGGAAUUCCUGGUGUAGGGGUGAAAUCUGUAGAUAUCAGGAAGAACACCGAUGGCGAAGGCAGGCUUCCAGCGGACGACUGACGCUGAGGCGCGAAGGCGCGGGGAGCGAACAGGAUUAGA